GCCCAGGUGGCGGAACUGGUAGACGCACAGGACUUAAAAUCCUGCGGCUUCGGUCAUGCGGGUUCGAUUCCCGCCCUGGGCACCA
Molecule: transfer RNA, 85 nt
Filed under: Candidatus Kuenenbacteria bacterium
Lineage: Bacteria; Candidatus Kueneniibacteriota
Description: tRNA-Leu
Rfam family: tRNA
About the family: Transfer RNA (tRNA) molecules are approximately 80 nucleotides in length. Their secondary structure includes four short double-helical elements and three loops (D, anti-codon, and T loops). Further hydrogen bonds mediate the characteristic L-shaped molecular structure. tRNAs have two regions of fundamental functional importance: the anti-codon, which is responsible for specific mRNA codon recognition, and the 3' end, to which the tRNAs corresponding amino acid is attached (by aminoacyl-tRNA synthetases). tRNAs cope with the degeneracy of the genetic code in two manners: having more than one tRNA (with a specific anti-codon) for a particular amino acid; and 'wobble' base-pairing, i.e. permitting non-standard base-pairing at the 3rd anti-codon position.
Source: RNAcentral